GUGCACGCAUCGCCAUGGCCACGUCCGCCACCUUGCGGAUGCCGGAGGGUAAGAACGGAGCCUUCCUCUCCAGCUAGGGCCGGCUAGAACACACAGUAUAGACAGAACCUUAAUGGAAAAGGAAUCUAGACAGCCAUUGAGUGCACCAGCUGCCGAUCCUAUCCUCCACGCCAUCCAGGCCUAUCCCCAAGCCAAGCCCCCAUAAAAACUUCAUCCCUAUCUGCCUUUUCCUCGAAUACAUUUCAUCGAACACCUUGUGUGCAUGCUUCAUCAUCACCGGUUGGAACCGAAGCCGGCGUAGCUGACCGCGGGAACCGUCGCUCGGGCCGCCUCUACUUCCUCUGCUGCCUUGGAUCAACGUCGGGAACCACGCAUCGAACACCUGCAAGCGUCGCCGACCGCUAGCCGCCCCUGUUUCGUCCGCACUGAGCUACGCGCCGCCGAACUUCGCCAUCCCGCUGUCUCUCGAAGCCGGUGAUGAAGUCUCGGAUGACCCAUAUGCUUACUACCAGGAGGGUGAAGAAGAUGGUGGCGCUUAGUAGGUCUUAGUUACGGUCGUCGCCUGUGGCAAUGGCGUCGCCGCUGCCUUGAUUCCGCUGCUUAUCUAUUUCUGCUUUUGGGAUGUAUUCCGGACCGUUUGGUCCUAUGUUCUAGACUAUGCCUGCGGGCCUAUGAUGUAAUUAUUCGCGCUAGACAAUCUUUGUAUGCGCACUUGAUAUUUCAGCAAUGUAAUCGUGAGUACCAGACUACUUGAUACAGGGAAAUGGUACUAUUCACACGAGUGAUUCCUGUUAUAAAAACGGGAGUCUACACCAUUGGUCCAAAUUUGCACACCCUCUUAUGCCACUUCCGUCGGUUGACCGUGUGUUGAUCGUUAACUCUUAAGUAAAAAAGACAUAUUUGUCCUCUCUGAGUUGUUAGGCAUGCCCUAUACUCAGAAGGGUAAAUAUGGCUUUUUUCCUUAAGAGUUAACGGUCAACACACGGUCAACUGAUGGGAGUGGCAUAAAAGGGUGCGUAAUUUUGGACCAAUGGCAUAUAAGAGAAGAGCCAAUUUUCAGUGGCAUAUAAAGGUUCAGACCACUUUUUAGUGGCAUAUAAGGGAUUCUCUCUAAGUAUAAUUCAGAUUAUUCCAAUUUUCAUCACGAAAAAUUCAGAUUGUCAUUGUUCCAACUGUCAUUAUAGAAAAGUUCAGAUUGUUCAGAUGAACAAUCUGUCAUUCAGAGCAAUGCAAUGGCAAUUGGCACUUGUUUAGACAUUCAUAUUGUCAUUUAGAACAAAGAAAACAUCUGUUAAUCAAACUGACAUUUAGACUCCAUCUGAACAAAGCAUGAUCCAUCAGAACAAAGAAAACAUUGUAAUCCAUUAUUCCAAUUGGCAUUACAGACACAAUACCAAUUUUACUGACACGAUACAAAUUUGUCAUGUUGACAAUGAUUCUACCGGCUCUACGCUAGAAUUUCUUGAUGGAAUUCAAAUUUGUCAUGCUCAAAUGGCAAAUUUCUACCCCAAAACAAAGACUUUUCCUAACUGUAGAGUGCCUAGAGUGUCAUCGACAUAAUGUCACCGCCUUGGAUCACCACACGUUGGAUGUGGCUCGCCAGGACAUCAGAAUCCAGUGUGGUUAUCAGGAGGUUGACUUGGUCUGAAUUUCUUAAUCUACGAACAAGACUAAGCUGAGAAAGAUGCAUCUUGAAACAAUAAGCUAAUUUCUGCUGGAGUAUCAAAAUUCACAGCUUGCAGUGUCAUUUGACCGAAGAAAGGUGUACUCUGCUUCCCUUAUGUUUUAUUGCAGGUACAAAGAGGAUGGUACUGUAAAACAAAAUUCAGAGUUCAGAGCCAGCAGGAGUAUCAACUUCAGAGAAAAUAAAACAUGAGAACAAAAUUCACAAUGCAGGAGAGUGAACCUUGGUGAUGCACAACGAUGCCAGGUUCGUCGAUGCCAAGAUGAUGCUUACCAGCCCCGUAUCACUGGGUUAUCUGAAACAGCAACAGGAUAAUCAACCUCCCAUCACCAUGGUAAGUUGAAGAAUUUUUGAGAUUUAGAAUGUCGAGAGGAGGAUUCUUGGGUGUGUUCGGCCGCCAUGGCGAAGAGAGGCCGGUGGUGUGGAUCCUUUCCCCAUCUGUCGCCUUGUCCAUAGCCUCCUCCGUCUUCUCAGAUUCCAACCUGGUCGGGGAUGGCGACGACGAAAUGGACCCUCAUCCGUUGUGCUGUUGUUGUGCACGAGCAGGGUUUGCAAGUUCGGUUGCCAUAGAAAUUUCGGUGGUUGCCGAGAAUUUGAGACUUUCGUGAUUUUCGGACCGAAAUUAUUUAAAUUUUUAACAUAUUUUGACUGAAUUUGAACAAAUUUUGACAAAAUUUGCAAAUAUUUGACAAAAAGCCAAAAAUUCGGGGAAGAUUUGUGCUUGCCGGUGGGGGCCGAAAAUUACCAAAAUUUCAAACCAUGUGCAUGAGUUGGAAGAACAAGGAAGAGAGGUGGCUCCGCCGUGAGAUCGAGCAACGGAGGAGGCGGGGACGAAGGCAACGCGCGAGAGGCGGAGAUGGCAGCGGUGGAAGGAAGGCGGGGGAGCAGAGGAGGAAACGGUGGCGAGAGAGAGGAGGCGGCGGUGGCGGGGAGAAGGGCAACGAUGGAACUUUGCAGUCGCACGAAGGAAGAAUUGAACUUCGGCAUGGAUAAAAUGGAAAAAAAAAAUGAGAACUGAAAAUCUGCUUAGAGGUUUCCUUGUGUAAGCAAUGAAUUGGAAAAGGACAGGGCGUUCUUGUGUUUUGCUGGUUAAGGACUGUAUUUUAAAAGGUGCAGAUUGUCUACCAAAAUGGUCCUAAUGUGUGUAUCAUAGAGGCCCAGCACAACACCUGGGGAUACACAGAAUAGCAUGCCCCAAUGCUUACUGCAUGUCAUCUGUAUGUCCUUAUAUUGCAACAUGGCAGAACGUUUUCACUA
Oryza sativa Japonica Group (Japanese rice) is the source of this 2941-nucleotide long non-coding RNA. RefSeq lists it as uncharacterized. The record is from RefSeq and is a predicted model, not a curated record. NCBI's taxonomy places the organism in Eukaryota, Viridiplantae, Streptophyta, Magnoliopsida, Poales, Poaceae.